Procambarus clarkii (red swamp crayfish) is the source of this 301-nucleotide non-coding RNA. Lineage: Eukaryota; Metazoa; Arthropoda; Malacostraca; Decapoda; Cambaridae. The record is from RefSeq and is a predicted model, not a curated record.
AAUGGCCUGACAUCUGGGGAGGAGGCAGAGCAAGUAUUUUCCUACCUUUCAAGAUAUAACAACAACACUAAGAACAUGCUUAAAGCUGAGCGUACAGAAGAACUGACAGAGGCGGCACUCUUUUGGAAUCACAGAAAAAUUAAUGGAAUGCCUCGGGCAUUAGUUGCCAGAUUCAGAAAGGCCACAGAGACAGCUGCAGCAGUUUCAAAUGAGAUUCACAGGCUUAAUGUCCCAGAAUCUGUUAUUGAGAAAUGGAGAUCAGAAUUACUGAUCAUUGCAAGAUCCUUAAAUAACAAAUCCU